CGGGGGGGCAAGCGUUGUUCGGAAUUACUGGGCGUAAAGGGCUUGUAGGCGGCCAACUAAGUCAAACGUGAAAUCCCUCGGCUUAACCGGGGAACUGCGCUUGAUACUGGAUGGCUUGAGAUUGGGAGAGGGAUGCGGAAUUCCAGGUGUAGCGGUGAAAUGCGUAGAUAUCUGGAGGAACACCGGUGGCGAAGGCGGCAUCCUGGACCAACACUGACGCUGAGGAGCGAAAGCCAGGGGAGCAAACGGGAUUAGAUACCCCGGUAGUCCUGGCCCUAAACGAUGAAUGCUUGGUGUGGCGGGUAUCGAUCCCUGCCGUGCCGAAGCUAACGCAUUAAGCAUUCCGCCUGGGGAGUACGGUCGCAAGGCUG
RNAcentral lists this ribosomal RNA (371 nucleotides) under uncultured organism. Its description in RNAcentral is "bacterial SSU rRNA". It matches the Rfam family "Bacterial small subunit ribosomal RNA", at positions 527 to 896 of the family's 1533-position model. The record is from RNAcentral.